AGAGUUUGAUCAUGGCUCAGGAUGAACGCUAGCGGGAGGCCUAACACAUGCAAGCCGAGCGGUAGAGAUUCUUCGGAAUCUUGAGAGCGGCGUACGGGUGCGGAACACGUGUGCAACCUACCUUUAUCUGGAGGAUAGCCUUUCGAAAGGAAGAUUAAUACUCCAUAAUAUAUUGAUUGGCAUCAAUUGAUAUUGAAAGCUCUGGCGGAUAGAGAUGGGCACGCGCAAGAUUAGUUAGUUGGUGAGGUAACGGCUCACCAAGACGAUGAUCUUUAGGGGCCUGAGAGGGUGAUCCCCCACACUGGUACUGAGACACGGACCAGACUCCUACGGGAGGCAGCAGUGAGGAAUAUUGGUCAAUGGGUGCAAGCCUGAACCAGCCAUCCCGCGUGAAGGACGACUGCCCUAUGGGUUGUAAACUUCUUUUGUAUAGGGAUAAACCUACCCUCGUGAGGGUAGCUGAAGGUACUAUACGAAUAAGCACCGGCUAACUCCGUG
RNAcentral lists this ribosomal RNA (498 nucleotides) under uncultured bacterium. Its description in RNAcentral is "bacterial SSU rRNA". It matches the Rfam family "Bacterial small subunit ribosomal RNA", at positions 8 to 507 of the family's 1533-position model. The record is from RNAcentral.